RNAcentral lists this ribosomal RNA (439 nucleotides) under uncultured bacterium. RNAcentral's name for it is "bacterial SSU rRNA". It matches the Rfam family "Bacterial small subunit ribosomal RNA", at positions 340 to 773 of the family's 1533-position model. The record is from RNAcentral.
UACGGGAGGCAGCAGUGGGGAAUAUUGCACAAUGGGCGCAAGCCUGAUGCAGCCAUGCCGCGUGUAUGAAGAAGGCCUUCGGGUUGUAAAGUACUUUCAGUCGUGAGGAAGGUGUUAAGGUUAAUAACCUUAGCAAUUGACGUUAGCGACAGAAGAAGCACCGGCUAACUCCGUGCCAGCAGCCGCGGUAAUACGGAGGGUGCGAGCGUUAAUCGGAAUUACUGGGCGUAAAGGGCACGCAGGCGGUUAAUUAAGUUGGAUGUGAAAUCCCCGGGCUUAACCUGGGAAUGGCAUUCAAGCUGGUUAGCUAGAGUCUUGUAGAGGGGGUAGAAUUCCGAUGUGUAGCGGUGAAAUGCGUAGAGAUGUGGAGGAAUACCGGUGGCGAAGGCGGCCCCUGGACAAAGACUGACGCUCAUGUGCGAAAGCGUGGGGAGCAAAC